UACGUAGGGGGCAAGCGUUGUCCGGAUUUAUUGGGCGUAAAGAGCGUGUAGGCGGCCGUACAGGUCAGCUGUGAAAACUCGAGGCUCAACCUCGAGACGUCGGUUGAAACCGUAUGGCUAGAGUCCGGAAGAGGAGAGUGGAAUUCCCGGUGUAGCGGUGAAAUGCGCAGAUAUCGGGAAGAACACCUAUGGCGAAGGCAGCUCUCUGGGACGGUACUGACGCUGAGGCGCGAAAGCUAGGGGAGCAAACGGG
RNAcentral lists this ribosomal RNA (253 nucleotides) under uncultured bacterium. RNAcentral describes it as "partial 16S ribosomal RNA". It matches the Rfam family "Bacterial small subunit ribosomal RNA", at positions 524 to 776 of the family's 1533-position model. The record is from RNAcentral.